AAUUAAUAAAUACAUACACUGUAAUGAAUUGCUGUAAAAAUUACAGCAAUAUUUUACAGCCGAUGGCUGUAUUUUAAUAAUACAGCAUAUUGCUGUAAAUUGCAAUGAAUUCCAGGGGCGUGGCGGUUUGAAUCAAAUUUACAGAAUAUUGCUGUAAAUUUCAAAUAUACAGAGGCAUUGUGGGAUCUCCAACGGUCAAGAUUCGAGUAGCAGCAAGAGGAGUGAUUUACAACUGUGGUAAGUGACUUAUUAUUUAAUUUCCCCCUCAGUCUUGGUAAAUAUGUAUGUAUUUACAUUCGCGAUUCAUAUUGGUAACCCCGGAUUGACGCAUCCUCCGUCCGCGGGGCGCGAAGCAGACUUGCGCGGGGUUUUCCUCAGCGCGGUCGCGGUAGGAUCUCACACAUUCCCCGGCGCUUUAGCAUAGCGGCUGUGGGCCGAAAAUUAAUAAUUAGAAACAGUUGGAAUUCACGAGAACUUCGUGUUCAUCAGCGCACUUGGUCGUGAUUAUUUUAUGGCGUAAAUCACAUUUGAACAUGCAGACAGUCAUCUGUUAACACGGGCCGAAACGAAAAAGCCUCGCGACGCGAUUAGGCCGCUCACGGAGGAUGUGUCACGCAAAAUGGUGCUGCUUCAUGCUGUUAACGUAACCAAUGUGAUGUAUUUGUGGACAUUUGCUAACCUAAGGUAUUUAUCUGGAGAGAGGAACAAAGACGAACGGAAAAGUGCCAUCUAAAACAACAGGCAGACAGUUCAGAAGAAACGGGUUGCGUUCAACCUACAUGUGGCCACUCUUCUGUGCAAAAUGAUGGAUUUUCAGUGGAAUUUCUGAAAUCCUCUCUUUGAAUCCUGGGAUGGAACAUCAUCUGGAGCAGAAUUGUUCUUUUUUGAUCGCAAGUUUGUUGGACUUGUUGUUUGGCCAUGUUGGUAUGUUCAUGAAGUGAUAAAAGUGAUGUGGGUUUUAAGAAAUGUUUUUAUAUGACCCUGUUGGUCAAGUUAUAGUUAUAAUUGUAUUUCUUUGUGUGAAGGGCCAUGAUGGCCAAUAAGUAAUUUAAAAACAU
Molecule: long non-coding RNA, 1058 nt
Organism: Megalobrama amblycephala (Wuchang bream)
Lineage: Eukaryota; Metazoa; Chordata; Actinopteri; Cypriniformes; Xenocyprididae
Exons: 3
Source: RefSeq, a predicted model, not a curated record